CACGCAGUUGGGCCAGGCCUAACGAGGACGUCCACCGUCGCCACUCCUUCCCCAACCAUCUCGCGUAGGGUUUCAUCGCUGUUGUGGCCGGCACGGACUCCGCAGCCACACGGCCCCAGGAAUGCCAGACGCCCCCGUUGGCCACCUUGCCGCUCCCAGGGUCGCCCUCGUCGUCUUCCUCGCCCUCGUCGUCUUCCUCGCCCUCGUCGUCGCCCUCGCCCUCGCCAUCCCCAUCGUCGUCAUCGUCCGACUCCGGCCCCUCGUUCUCGUCGGUUUCCAACUUGUCAAGGUACUUGAGUGUCCGGAUCAUGCCCAAGACCCUGGAUCUGUAGUGCCUGGCCCGCAUGACGGGGCACUCGUAGAGUCGUAGAGGUCCAGCGAGAUGAGGCGGAGGCGCGCGAGCGAGCGGCGCCAGAUCGUCCACAUCUUAGAUGCGGAGGUCGAGGUCGCGCAGCCGUUGCCCACCUCGACGAGGUGCUCGACCGUGGGAUCUCGUUCAAGUUCCUCAGGUCAAUUUCCACGGGAUCCCGUUCAAGCGGAAGCACUCUCCUGCGCUCCUCUGCCCCAAAUCUCUAUUAUAUGGAGGCAGCCGUCAGCACCCAUUUCGCCCAAUGAGCUUGGAGCCGUGCACAGCUGCCGUCCUCCAGUUCAGGACUUCUGGUGUGGUGUCGACCUCACAGCACUACCGCUCAUUUGAGUCUGAAUUUCUUUGGUACUGCACUACUACUAUCUCUAAGUUCUGCAUUUGCUAACUGUAUAUGAUUGUCAAAUAGCAGUAUUCUUUGAUGAGAUGCCAAUAUCUGUGAAUUUUUUUGUUCUUCAAUAGAUGGACCAUGUCCGCUCAAAGUCAGAGGUUCAUCACGAGCAUGACAUGUACUGAUUCUUCUUCUCUCUUACCACCUAUGUUCAGUUGACUGCUUAUGUGGAACACACAUGCGCAACUCCAUUGAAAUAACAUAUGACUUCAGAUAUCAUCUUCCGAUUCUGUUCGAUUGAAACUGUUACUAUCAUUCAAUGGUUACAUUUAGAAUUACAAGUGCAUUUUCUUGAUCUUCUGUCACCUAGAUUUACUUAUGUUUAUAAGAUUUCAGAUUCAUGUUGUGAGGUCAACUUUUGCUAUUUUUAGUUGUUCUAUACCCUCCAGUUAAUGCAAACAAGCAAACUACUCCUUCGGAUACUACUAAACUGCUACUAUGUCUUGAAAUUGAAGAGGAUUUUGGGCACGCAAGAGUUAAAACAAAUCAGGCAACAAAAGCUAAUUCAAGAAGCCAUUGACAGUGCGGCCCGUUGUGGUGCCCGGCGAUCUUCUCACCGUCGCGAUCGCCACGGCCGCUGCCGCACCAACAUCACUACUCCCGGCCAUCUCCCCUUGGCUGAGGUCUUCAACGAUGCUAAGCCUAGGCAGCAGUCCUGGUUCAUCGGCUGGAGGACUGCCUCCACAGACUCGUGGUCCAAAGCCACAGGGUGGCCUCACAGCGCGCGGAUGGAAAUUCCCAGUUGAAGACAAGACCAAAUAGCAGGCAUACAUAUGAAAGGUGUGUCACUGAAGGAGUAAUACAUGUUUGGUUAUGAUCGUUGAUGAGAGCAGUAGCAUCAGCCCUACACAUAAAUCAAAAUUUCUAUAAUUUCAAAGGCUUGAACGAUAAACACCGUGAAAAGUUCCAAAGCAUGCACAACGGUGUAUUCAUAUGUCUAAGAAAAUUGAAACACAUGGUUCAAGUAAAAGCAAGUUGGGACUUUACCAACCGGUAUGAGUUUUAAAUUAGAAGUAACCUGAACAACCAAGAGAAACUGACCCAGAUCUUUUUUAUCACUCUGAAUGUAAUGACCCAAAAUUUAGUUAGGAACACUAAUAAAAGGAGGACGCAGGUCUUGUGAAGGCAAAUGCAUCUCUCCGACUUCAAUACUAUGGUGCAUAAAAAAGCACUUGCAAACCAUACAAAAAUCAUCCUGAAUAUGGAAAUUACCAUGCCUUGCAUUGAAACUCCUUAAGACUUCAAGCACUACAUUCCUGGGCAGGUACGGAGUUUCUUCCGAGCUGUACAAUUCCAUGCCAAUAAAAUUCCCAUCACAAUCAAUAAGUGGCCCUCCGAUCCCAGCCUAGCACAAAACAAAAGUAGUACGUAAACAAAGAUGAUAUUUGCAAACCUUUGCAGACAUAAAGAAAGAUUGUUAUUCGUGAACCUUAAUUAAUUAGUGGAUUAAAAAUAUGCAAAUUAGUGCAUGUAGCAUACCUUUGUCAUUUUAAAAGUGGACAUCUUAAGUUCUUUGCAGAUUAGACACGUGAUAAGGUGGUUUGAGUCAGUAUUUUUCAAUUUUUCCAUGGAUCUUCCAAAAUGAUAGUUAAUCACAUGGUGUCUCCUUUUAUAGACUACUUUCAGUAAAGGGUAAUGUUUGGUGGUUGAACAACUGCUUCUCUAUUUGUCGGGAACCCUCAGAUGAUUACAAGUUGCUCUUGGAUUCUUAUAGAUUGUAAUUCAUAGAGGAACGAAUUUAAAUAUGCUACACGUUGUAGAACACUUAUGUGAAUGAAUUACUUAUUUGGUUCUUUAAAUUGAGGACAGAUCUUGCUGUUUUUACUUCCAGAAAAAAGAAAAUUUUAGUUUCUCUGUAAGACAAAGUUUACAUUGAAACGAAAAAACAUAUAGACUGGAGUUGGAAAGACUUAUAGCAUGCAUGUAAAUCGAACAUCCUUGGGCUUACAUUAUGUGAUGAUUACUAAAUUUACCGCUUUGGUCUUAUGUAUUGAUUACUAAAGUUUACUUUGGAUGUUGACCGGGGCGAAACAUUUUGCAUUGCAAUGACCUGAAAACUUGUCUGCUUCAGCGAGUUGUAAAUGGUAUUUUUAAAUGUUCAAGAACAUUACAGAUUGCUACAUUCUUAAUGGUAAAAAUACUUUUAUGCUAAUUUUAGAUUCACUUUCAUUGACCUUCACUUGCAUUGAUUUACUAUU
Lolium perenne is the source of this 2953-nucleotide non-coding RNA. The record is from RefSeq and is a predicted model, not a curated record. NCBI's taxonomy places the organism in Eukaryota, Viridiplantae, Streptophyta, Magnoliopsida, Poales, Poaceae.